Molecule: microRNA precursor, 98 nt
Filed under: Macaca nemestrina (pig-tailed macaque)
Lineage: Eukaryota; Metazoa; Chordata; Mammalia; Primates; Cercopithecidae
Description: miRNA (ENSMNEG00000002189.1)
Source: RNAcentral
GAGGUGGGAGGAUCACUUGAGCCCAGGAGGUUGAGGCUGCAGUGAGCUGUUAUCAUGCCAUUGCACUCCAGCCUGAGUGACAGAGCAAGACUGUGUCU